CUGGAAUACUGGGAUAAAUAAAAAAUUGUUUAAAUCCAUCUGGUCUAUAUCUAACAUCAGAAUAAUCAUCAAGUUGUGGAUAAAAUAAUAAUUUUGGUAAACGUGAAUCAAUUGAUGAUGAUGUUAAUGAUCCAUUAUCAUCUGCAUCAGGAUUAUCAUUUUCUUGAUUUGGAAUUUGUUGAUUACCAUUAUUACCAUUUGAUACACCACGUCCAGGUGUAUCUGGAUUAAAUGGUUGAUAAUUAAAACCUCUUUGUCCACCUCUACCAUAAUCAUCAAUACCAUACUGAUUUGGAUAUCUUGGCAAAUGAAGUUAUUGAAAAGGUUUUUUCACCAACUUCAGUUAUUCAAAAAAAGACAGAUAUUCUCAAGGAAAACAAUGUUGCUAUUGCAUAUUUUUGUGCUAAAAAAGUUAGCUUUACUGCUGCUGCUGGAUUUAUUCAUAUAAAUCUUCCAUUAUUAAUUUCUAUUUUUGGAGCAAUGACAACGUAUUUAGUUAUUCUACACAAAUCAUCAGCUGACAACGAAAAUUAUUAAUUUU
Aphidius gifuensis is the source of this 541-nucleotide long non-coding RNA. RefSeq lists it as uncharacterized. The transcript is spliced from 5 exons. The record is from RefSeq and is a predicted model, not a curated record. NCBI's taxonomy places the organism in Eukaryota, Metazoa, Arthropoda, Insecta, Hymenoptera, Braconidae.